Molecule: long non-coding RNA, 1087 nt
Filed under: Homo sapiens (human)
Lineage: Eukaryota; Metazoa; Chordata; Mammalia; Primates; Hominidae
Description: PRDX6 antisense RNA 1
Source: RNAcentral
GUUGCCCCCUGGAAGCUUGAGGAUGCGCCAGGUUUGACUCUGCAGGGCGUACGCGCUUUAGGGAUGGAAGGAAGAGGAACGCGGCAGGAAGGCGAGCCCCAAGUGUGAGCGUCUGGAGUCCUGACCGCCCCAGCCAGCCCAGCUACGAUGAACUGUCUAAGAGGAUGUGGCAAGACCCAGAAGUAUGGGUGACCUUAUGUCAGAGGAAGUGGCUUUCUUAUUGCAGCAAAAAUUCCCGUACCAAUGUCAGUGCUAGGUAUGAAAGUUUUCAAGACGCCUACAAGUGGAAAAUGCACUCCUCCCAGCCAAAUCAAGCUUCGCCAGAUUCCUUACAGCUGUGUGCAGUGAAAUGACUAAUGAAAGAGCCCUCUGCUGCUGGUGGAACUUUCACAUAUGGCACUGUUAUGCCACUCAGCAGGACCCGACCCUGGUAUUUACAUAUUGGAUGUCACCCCAAAAGCCCCUGACCAGGGGGUUUCCGGGAUGUAAUAAGAAUGCCACUCUGGGCUUUGGAAGGUGCACCGUAUGCACACCCAUACUAUAGGGCAGGGGUUAGCAUUUCAGACCCCUGUUCCUCCCUUGACAAGCAAGUGCUUUUCUCCAGGGAAGACGUUCAGGUUCAUUCAUAGAUCCAUUGGUGCCGUGGGCAGCUCAGUAACAAUAGCUCUGCUGCCUACCAGCUGCUGGUGGAGGUGUUGAGAAUACCUAAUGAGGAAGUCAGGGCCCCUGCGUGCUUCAGCAGAGCUGGAUGCCUGGCAUGGCAAUCAAUGGACACAAACCUUUGGAUAAUUUCCGUCCUUGGCGGUGUGUUCUAUAGCAUAGGUAUGAAGUGGGUGCUCUGGGAGCUCAGAAGAGGGGCUCUUCUCUUAACUUAUGGGUGGCCAGGGAAGGCUUCCUGGAGCUCAAAUGACUGAGUGGAGUCUUCAACAUUAAAAAAAAAAAAAAGAAAAAAAAAGUGCUUCCCUCCCACCCCCAGUUAAAAAGGUAAUACACCUCAUUGAAAUAAUUUAAACUUUACAGAAAUGUGUUCCUUUAAAGUUCAGAGAGUAAAGAGGAAGUAAUAAAGCUGAAAUAGUAGAAUUUCUAA